ACGCCGCGUGAGCGAUGAAGGUCUUCGGAUCGUAAAGCUCUGUGGGGGGAGAAGAAGAAAGUCGGUGAAGAGCCGGCCCUGACGGUAUCCCCUUAGCAAGCACCGGCUAACUCCGUGCCAGCAGCCGCGGUAAUACGGAGGGUGCAAACGUUGCUCGGAAUCAUUGGGCGUAAAGCGCGCGUAGGCGGCUGAACAAGUUGGAUGUGAAAGCCCUGGGCUCAACCUAGGAUGUGCAUUCAAAACUGUUCGGCUUGAGUCUCGGAGGGGGUCAGAGAAUUCUCGGUGUAGAGGUGAAAUUCGUAGAUAUCGGGAGGAACACCAGUGGCGAAGGCGCUGACCUGGACGAUGACUGACGCUGAGGCGCGAAAGCGUGGGGAGCAAACAGGAUUAGAUACCCUGGUAGUCCACGCCGUAAACGAUGAGUGCUAGACGCUGGCGGAUUGACCCCGUCGGUGUCGAAGCUAACGCGUUAAGCACUCCGCCUGGGGAGUACGGUCGCAAGACUAAAACUCAAAGGAAUUGACGG
Molecule: ribosomal RNA, 526 nt
Filed under: uncultured bacterium
Lineage: Bacteria
Description: bacterial SSU rRNA
Rfam family: Bacterial small subunit ribosomal RNA
Source: RNAcentral